AACGAACGCUGGCGGCAUGCCUAACACAUGCAAGUCGAACGAGACCUUCGGGUCUAGUGGCGCACGGGUGCGUAACGCGUGGGAACCUGCCCUUAGGUUCGGAAUAACUCCCCGAAAGGGGUGCUAAUACCGGAUAAUGUCUUCGGAUCAAAGAUUCAUCGCCUUUGGAUGGGCCCGCGUUGGAUUAGCUAGUCGGUAGUGUAACAGCCUACCAAGGCGUCGUUCCAUAGCUGGGCUGAGAGCAUGAUCAGCCACACUGGGGCUGAGACACGGCCCAGACUCGUACGGGAUGCAGGAGUGGGGAAUAUUGGACAAGGGGGGAAGGCCUGAUCACGCAAUGCCGCGGAAGUGAUGAAGGCGUUAGGGAUGUAAAGCUCUUUUACCCGGGAUGAUAAUGACGGUACCGGGAGAAUAAGCACCGGCUAACUCCGUG
RNAcentral lists this ribosomal RNA (433 nucleotides) under uncultured bacterium. Its description in RNAcentral is "partial 16S ribosomal RNA". It matches the Rfam family "Bacterial small subunit ribosomal RNA", at positions 29 to 507 of the family's 1533-position model. The record is from RNAcentral.